Molecule: ribosomal RNA, 116 nt
Filed under: Limisphaerales bacterium
Lineage: Bacteria; Pseudomonadati; Verrucomicrobiota; Verrucomicrobiia; Limisphaerales
Source: RNAcentral
CUUGGUGGCAAUGCCGCGGUGGAACGACCCGAUCCCAUUCCGAACUCGGCCGUCAAACGCCGCAGGGCCGAUGGUAGUGCAGGUAUAGCCUGCGCGAGAGUAGGUCGCCGCCAAGC